This is a long non-coding RNA of Cervus elaphus (red deer), 769 nucleotides long. RefSeq lists it as uncharacterized. The transcript has 2 exons. NCBI's taxonomy places the organism in Eukaryota, Metazoa, Chordata, Mammalia, Artiodactyla, Cervidae. The record is from RefSeq and is a predicted model, not a curated record.
UGGCAACACUGACUCAGUGGACAUGAAUUUGAGCAGACUCGGGGAGAUGGUGAAGGACAGGGAAGCCUGGCGUGCUGCAUUCCGUGUGGUCGCCGAGUCGGACACAGCUGAGCGACUGAACAAGGCAUAGAGAACACAUGAAAAAGACAGACUGAGCAGAAACAACCCAGUGGAUGUAUUAACUGCACAGUUUCUCACGGCUGAAUCACUGAGUACAAGACAAUAUGUAGAGAUGUGAAAGACUAGGGAAAUGAUAUCUAAAAGCAAAAGACAAAAAGCAAAUUUGAGUGAUUUUCUUAUUCGAGUUCAAAAUGUGUUAUAAAGCACCGGAGACAACUCACAACAUAAACAAUGCAUUUGGCCCGGGAACUGCUAACGAACAUACAAUGCAGUGUGGUUCAAGUUUAGCAAAGGAGACAAGAGCUUUGAAGAUGAGGAGUACAGUGGCUGGCCAUCGGUGGUUGACAAUACCAAUUGAGAGAGAGAAGUUAACAAAGAACUCAACAUCGACUAUUCUAUGAUCAUUCAGUACUUGAUGCAAAGUGGAAAGGUGAAAAAGCUCAGUAAAUGGGUGCUGUGUGAGCUGACCAAAAAUUUUAAAAAUUGUUGUUUUGAAGUGUUAUCUACUCUUACUUUAUGCAACAACAAUGAACCAUUUCUUGUUCAGAUUGUGACAUGCGACAGAAAGUGGAUUUUAUAACUAUUGCCAAACCACUCAGUGAUUGGACCAAGAAGCUCCAAAGCACUUCCCAAAGCCAAACUUGCACCA